Molecule: long non-coding RNA, 250 nt
Filed under: Brassica rapa (field mustard)
Lineage: Eukaryota; Viridiplantae; Streptophyta; Magnoliopsida; Brassicales; Brassicaceae
Description: long non-coding RNA (BRAP_LNC006943)
Source: RNAcentral
AAGGGUUUAGGAUUUACCCAAGGGUUUAGGGUUUAUCCAAGGGUUUAGGGUUUAGGAUUUAGAGUUUAGGGAUUAGGAUUUAGGGUUUAGUGUUUUGUUGAGAACAUUAAAAAUAUAUAUUUUUUUAAUUCUUUUUUCUGUAACUAUUAUCUUUUUUUAUUUUAAAAACAUAAUAUAAUUUGAGAAUAUUUUGUUUCCUUUUUUAAAAAAUAUCAAAUUUGAAGUAAUGAAAUCCUAUUGGUUGGUGAAC